Molecule: long non-coding RNA, 2664 nt
Organism: Brachypodium distachyon (stiff brome)
Lineage: Eukaryota; Viridiplantae; Streptophyta; Magnoliopsida; Poales; Poaceae
Exons: 3
Source: RefSeq, a predicted model, not a curated record
ACCUCUCUGCAGUACCGCUUCGAUCGGGAUAACUGCCUCCCUGUCUCCCUUUCCAUUCCCCGUCUCAAAUCUCAUCUGAGUUCUCGCCCCUGCUGCUGCGCAGUCGCUGGCGCUUCCCUCUACCCUGCGUCUCCCUCCGCCCGGAGCCCCCCUCACCACGCCUCCCUCCUCUCUCAUCUGUAGAAGGCCACGCGGCUGGCAAGGAUCCUACACAGAGCAGAUCCUCCAGGCGCCGGCCAAGAAGGUGCAGCGAGCAGGGAGGGGAGAAGGGAGGUUGACAGCGCCGGAGAGUUGCCGUGCGGUAGGUGCAGGAGGAUCAGGCUCGGGCGCCCUGCCCCUGGCCCAGAGGAUGACGACGCAGCCACAGAGCUGGCUCGCCUCCACCACCGGCGCAAGUGCUCACCAGUGUUGUUUUCUGAGUCUGAAGCUGCAAUUGAUCGAAAAUGUUUGUCAGGUUUAUUUCUUCUCAUUGCCGCCACAUAGAAGGGUGCAAUAUGGAUCCCGCGAUAGUCCGGCUUGUAGUUCAAUUCUCAAAUCUCUUAUUCGAAUUCUGAGCAAAAUUUUGAAUAGAAGAUUUGAAAAAUGAACUAGAAGCUGGAUUUUCCCGUUUGCAUCCCUAGCCAUAUAGCAGGCUGGCUGAGGCCCGCCAUAGUUCGGGUCAAAAAAUAAAUGGCCCUUUUUCAUUGAUUAACUGGUAAGCAUUACUAUCACAAACACAUGUGGCUUUUGUAAGCAUUACUAUCUUAAAUCCUUUAGAACUAUCCUUUACAAUCCAGACUGAAGCUACAUUCAAUUCUUUGGCUUACAAUCAAACUAUCUUUUACAUCAAAAGCUGAUAACUGCUGUGUGUCAGAUAAAACUUGAUAAGAUUUGCUUGUGAAACCUGAUUAUGUACAUCAAACAUGAAAUAUAUGUACAAGUUAAAAAAUCUUUUGUUGCAUAUCAGAAUAUCAUUUAGUAGAGAGCAGGUCCUAAUGAAGGGAAAGUCCAUGCUGAACAAGCCCCGGUGGAACUUUAGAGUUCUGGCAGUGUUUAUUUUAUUUUUUGAAUGAGAGGGCAAGAUUUUCAGAGAAAAGUUGUGGUAAAUGUAAAACGAGUUUCUGCAUUUGAAUUAUUCAUCUCAUUUUUAGUUUGGUUUUUGAAGACAUGUAGAACAGAUAUACUACUUUUCGAUAUGGAUUAUACGACAUGCGUCACAUGCAUGUUAUUUUUUGUCAUUUGUAGGGUAUGAAGUAAUCUGGUUUAGUUUAUAUGAUGAGAUUAGAAUGAUUUUUUUUUGGCAAGGAGUCAAUUACUGAUUAACUAAACAAGAAGAUUGAUUUGCUUUAUGCAAGUUUUUUCAAUGAAACAAUUAAUUAUUAACUAAAAAUCAACCAUGGCUAUGUCUGUAGAGGCCAGAGGGUAACUCAUGCCUUGGUAGAUAGGGAUUAACAAACCACACUUAUCCUAGGGAUACAACAAGGCCAAACUGGCCUGCGUAUGUAGGAAAAUAUUGGAGGCUCGGUGAAACUUGAGGUGUGCUUUUACACAUUUUCGUCAUGUUUCAGCUGUUAGGCCAAGGAGGUGCUCGCUGAACCACAGAGGGUGCAGAUCAGAAACCACGGGGAACAGACCUUCAGUCUGUCAUUGUAGAGAUAAGCACCUCAAAUAAAACGGAUGCACUUUAGGUUAAGCAACAAGCAUAAAUGAUUUUCGGUAUCUUUUAACAAGUGGUUGGUUUUUCUUUUAUGUAACUGGUAUAUAAAUACCGGGAUAGCUUCUACUACUAACUACGGUAAUAAAGAAGACUAAAAUAAUUUUGAAUGUUCCAUGGCAUGAUUCUGCUAUUUUGGUUCUCAUUAACUUUGUAUGCAGGAAGAUCUGAUUUUUCGAUUUGUCACUGAUUUUGUUCGUUAAUGUAUUAAAUUUAGCUUUUCCACUUGAAUAAAAUUGAACAGCCACUACAAUGUUUCUCCAUAACAGUUUUUAUCUGGCAUCUCGAAUCUAUGGCAAAAAUACAUGUGACUCUUUGCCAGAAUUCUCUGUUCUCGAAUACUUCCAUGCAAUUACCUUUUACUUAUCUUCUUUGGCCUCAAGUAGGGUGCUAGCACAUCUUUACAGAAAGUGUCAAAGAACCACAUUGUUGCUAGAAUGCAAUUUUUUUUUGCAUAUUUUUUGCAUAAACCGUUUUGCUAGGGGUAUUUGUAUGUUAAUUUAGACUGCAUAAUUUUUUUUAUUCCCUGGUUUGUGGCUAACAUCAUCUCAACAAUAGGACAGGUCGGGAGCGACUUUGUGAUACAUAACCGUUUCAUUGUGUGCCACCAGGUCAUAGGACGGCGAGUUGUUUUAUUCUCGAUGAAAAAUCGACAAUGGCAUGGAGCUGCUUGCAGGACCUACUUAUUGUUCUCUGAUGGCUAAACAGAUUUUGCUUCUGUUUUUUCCUUCACCAUGUCUGGAAUAGAGGAUAAAAACCUGCAAAAAAAAAUGUCUGGAAUAGAGACUCAAGGUGUUGAAUUGGAUGUGCAUCUGUUUGAUGAAUUGGAAGUCUGUUCUCAAACCAAUAUGAGCUUGUGUUGGGAGUCUAUCCAUUUAAAUUUUAAUAUCUCCUGUGAACUAUUCGGAAACCAAUAUAAACUUCGUGCUUAAAGAUAUAUGCUGAAUUUUUAAAGGGGACUGGAUUCGUUA